CCCUUAGAUGUUCUGGGCCGCACGCGCGCUACACUGACGAAGUCAGCGAGCAUGUCCUACGCCGACAGGUGCGGGGAAUCUUGUUAAACUUCGUCGUGAUGGGGAUUGAUUAUUGAAAUUCUUGAUCAUCAACGAGGAAUUCCUAGUAAGCGCAAGUCAGCAGCUUGCGUUGAUUACGUCCCUGCCCUUUGUACACACCGCCCGUCGCUACUACCGAUUGAAUGGUUUAGUGAGAUCUUCGGAUUGGCGCCACUGCGGCUCAGCAAUGGGCUCGGUGGAUGCCGAAAAGUUGAUCAAACUUGAUCAUUUAGAGGAAGUAAAAGUCGUAACA
This 331-nucleotide ribosomal RNA is filed under the name uncultured eukaryote. Its description in RNAcentral is "partial 18S ribosomal RNA". It matches the Rfam family "Eukaryotic small subunit ribosomal RNA", at positions 1470 to 1796 of the family's 1831-position model. The record is from RNAcentral.